RNAcentral lists this ribosomal RNA (483 nucleotides) under uncultured bacterium. RNAcentral describes it as "partial 16S ribosomal RNA". It matches the Rfam family "Bacterial small subunit ribosomal RNA", at positions 28 to 507 of the family's 1533-position model. The record is from RNAcentral.
GACGAACGCUGGCGGCGUGCUUAACACAUGCAAGUCGAACGAUGAAGCGGGUGCUUGCCCUCGUGGAUUAGUGGCGAACGGGCGAGUAACACGUGAGUAACCUGUCCUUUUCUUUGGGAUAACGGCUGGAAACGGCUGCUAAUACUGGAUAUUCAGGCUGCAUCGCAUGGUGUGGUUUGGAAAGGUUUUUUCUGGGAUUGGGUGGGCUCGCGGCCUAUCAGCUUGUUGGUGGGGUGAUGGCUUACCAAGGCUUUGACGGGUAGCCGGCCUGAGAGGGUGGGCGGUCGCACUGGGACUGAGAUACGGCCCAGACUCCUACGGGAGGCAGCAGUGGGGAAUAUUGCACAAUGGACGAAAGUUUGAUGCAGCGACGCCGCGUGGAGGGUGUAGGCCUUCGGGUUGUGAACUCCUUUUUCUAGCGAAAAAGGCACAGUUUUGGCUGUGUUGAUGGUAGUGGGGGAAGAAGCGCCGGCUAACUACGUG